UGUGGGAGCGAGCCUGCUCGCGAUGGCUUUGGGUCAGCUUGCGGCGAUGUUGACCUUACCGCCGUCAUCGCGAGCAGGCUCGCUCCCACA
This 90-nucleotide unclassified non-coding RNA is filed under the name Pseudomonas mediterranea. Lineage: Bacteria; Pseudomonadati; Pseudomonadota; Gammaproteobacteria; Pseudomonadales; Pseudomonadaceae. The record is from RNAcentral.